UACGUACUGUGCGAACGUUAUUCGGAAUCACUGGGCUUAAAGGGUGCGUAGGCGGCUACUUAAGUAGGGUGUGAAAUCCCCCGGCUUAACCGGGGAACUGCGCUCUAAACUGGGUGGCUUGAGUGCGAUAGGGGUGUGCGGAACUUCCAGUGGAGCGGUGAAAUGUGUUGAUAUUGGAAGGAACACCGGUGGCGAAAGCGGCACACUGGGUCGUAACUGACGCUGAGGCACGAAAGCCAGGGGAGCGAACGGG
This 253-nucleotide ribosomal RNA is filed under the name uncultured bacterium. RNAcentral's name for it is "partial 16S ribosomal RNA". It matches the Rfam family "Bacterial small subunit ribosomal RNA", at positions 524 to 776 of the family's 1533-position model. The record is from RNAcentral.